ACACGACUACAUUAGAUACCCGUGUAGUCCUAGCCGUAAACGAUACUCGCUAGGUGUCGGCCACGGUGCGACCGUUGUCGGUGCCGUAGGGAAGCCGUGAAGCGAGCCACCUGGGAAGUACGGCCGCAAGGCUGAAACUUAAGGGAAUUGGCGGGGGAGCACAACAACGGGUGGAGCUUGCGGUUUAAUUGGAUUCAACGCCGGAAAUCUUACCGGGACCGACAGCAACAUGAAGGCCAAGCUGAAGACUUUGCCGGAUUUAGCUG
RNAcentral lists this ribosomal RNA (266 nucleotides) under uncultured archaeon. Its description in RNAcentral is "partial 16S ribosomal RNA". It matches the Rfam family "Archaeal small subunit ribosomal RNA", at positions 719 to 982 of the family's 1478-position model. The record is from RNAcentral.